This 483-nucleotide ribosomal RNA is filed under the name uncultured bacterium. Its description in RNAcentral is "partial 16S ribosomal RNA". It matches the Rfam family "Bacterial small subunit ribosomal RNA", at positions 28 to 507 of the family's 1533-position model. The record is from RNAcentral.
GACGAACGCUGGCGGCGUGCCUAACACAUGCAAGUCGAGCGGGGAUUUAAGUGGAAGUUCUUCGGAAUGGAGAUUUAAAUUCUAGCGGCGGACGGGUGAGUAACGCGUGAACAAUCUGUCCCGGACAGGGGGAUAACACUUGGAAACAGGUGCUAAUACCGCAUAAGACCACGGCCUCGCAUGGGGCUGAGGUAAAAGGAGCAAUCCGGUUCGGGGUGAGUUCGCGUCCGAUUAGCUAGUUGGUGAGGUAACGGCCCACCAAGGCGACGAUCGGUAGCCGGCCUGAGAGGGUGAACGGCCACAUUGGAACUGAGAGACGGUCCAAACUCCUACGGGAGGCAGCAGUGGGGAAUAUUGGGCAAUGGGCGAAAGCCUGACCCAGCAACGCCGCGUGAGGGAAGAAGGUUUUCGGAGUGUAAACCUCUGUCCUAUGGGACGAAGGAAGUGACGGUACCAUAGGAGGAAGCCCCGGCUAACUACGUG